RNAcentral lists this long non-coding RNA (692 nucleotides) under Homo sapiens (human). RNAcentral's name for it is "HSALNT0044340". The record is from RNAcentral. Lineage: Eukaryota; Metazoa; Chordata; Mammalia; Primates; Hominidae.
GUGAAACUCCAUCUCAAAAAAAAAGAAAAAAAAAAAAAAGAGUCUGCAGUAUCAAAGAGCCACAUACUUCAGCUUGCGGUGGCGGACAAGGUAUAGCUGUUCUUAUUUGCUGAAAGAGAAAAGACCACAGAAUUGAAUACCAGUGAUUUCCCGUUUUCUUAACUCUACUGAAAAGUCAUAAAACUGCAUUAGCAAUAAUUACAACUACAGUUGACCCUUGAACAACAUGGGAUUAAACUGUGUGGGUCCACUUACAUGCAGAUUUUCUUCCACUUCUGCCACCCUGAGGCAGCAAGUCAGCUCCUCUGCUCCCUCCUUCUCCUCAGCCUACUCUCCACAAAGAUGAUAAAGAAGACCUUUAUAUGAUCCACUUCCACUUAAUUAAUACUGCUCCAUGAAGCCAGAAUUUGGACAUAUGGAAGGUCUUGCAUUUUUCACCAAAGAAAAAGCACUGGUAAAUGAGGUUUGUUCAGAAUUCAUCAGGAAACCUAUUACAAUUGCAGCAGCCCUGGAAACGCCUGCAUUACAAUGAACAAGAACCACUCCAUCCUACAAAAAAAAAAACAAACAAAAAUCUUCAUUAUUCAUUUGAGAAAGGUUAUUAUAUCAAUUGCACAUUCUUAUACUACUUGAAAGUAUAAAGUAAAUAUUCAGUUUUAUUGAUUUAUUUGAUUCAAUUUAUUUGAUUAUUG